GAAUAGUGUUUAGUCAUUGGAGGUUAGGGAAUUUGUUAGAAGUUGGGGAUCAUCUUAUCGUCAAGUUAAUUAGUGCUAAUUCAGUUAUAAAAGAUAUAGGGCUUAAGGUUGUGUAUGAAGAUGAAGAUGAAGACGAAGACGAAGACGAAGACGAAGACGAAGACGAAGAUGAAGAUGAAGAUGAAGAUGAUGAAAAUGAUGAUGAUGAAGAUGAUGAAAGGAAGGAGGGUACUACAAGUGGACUGUACAGCUUCAACAAGUACCACAACAACAAGAAGAAGAAGAAGG
RNAcentral lists this long non-coding RNA (288 nucleotides) under Panax ginseng (ginseng). RNAcentral's name for it is "long non-coding RNA (PGIN_LNC017108)". Lineage: Eukaryota; Viridiplantae; Streptophyta; Magnoliopsida; Apiales; Araliaceae. The record is from RNAcentral.